This 10832-nucleotide long non-coding RNA is filed under the name Brassica rapa (field mustard). RNAcentral describes it as "long non-coding RNA (BRAP_LNC008483)". The record is from RNAcentral. Lineage: Eukaryota; Viridiplantae; Streptophyta; Magnoliopsida; Brassicales; Brassicaceae.
GUGUUGUUUAGAACAGAGAGUGGUCGGAUUGAAAGAGAACAGAGUGAAGAGAGUAAGUGAGAAUUAAAGAGACUGCAAUGGAGCAAAAGAGAGAUUAAGUGAGAUUUGAGAGAGUAUGAGAGAGAUUCUUGUAACCAGAGAUUAGGGAGAGUAUAAGAGACUUGAGAAUGGUGAAGAAGAAAGGGGAAACUCCCCCAUUCAGCUUAAUUUCGUAAUGGUUACAAUGGGGUGGCUUUAUAGCCAGAUUACAAGUUGCAAGUGAUUAAACAAUUGUUAAAGUACAGAUUUACUAAACUAAUAUUAUUGUAGGGUUUCUGAUGGAGCCAGGAGGAUGCAGCCAAGGAGAAUCUCGACCAGAGGGAGUAGAGAGUGACAGGAGAGAGAGAUGGGCACAGUCUGGUUGGGUGAAAGUGACAGCAGGUUCAUCUCCUUAUGCACAUGUGACUUUUAUCUUAAUUAAUUCUCCAACUUGCCAGAUCUCUCUCCAACGGUCUCAUACUUAGUUUAAACUUCAAAUAUGCUUCAGAAAGCUCAGCUGGACGAGUUCCCCACUUGCCUUGACUUCCAAGACACUCUAGGUUAGGUUUGGUUACUUGCAAGCCAAAACUGUACGGACAGAUUCAAAUCUGCUUGUUCCGGAUUUGCUUGCUCUUGAAGCUUGGUCUCUUCAUCAACUCCAGCUUCUUACUUCUUCAUUCCAACACUCCCCCUCAAGCUUGACCAUAGGAGAUCCUUGGACAAGCUUGGAACCUUGAAGAAGCUCCCUCAUUAAAAACCUUAGCAAGAAAACCCAUUGGGACAAAACUUGCUAAGGGAAAAAGAGUGGAGUUUCCACAAAGCUUAGGGAUUGGCCAGUGAGCCUAAGGAACUUCAGAUUCAUCAUGGUGGAGUCCUUAGGCUCUGGAUCGUGGCCUAAUAGGUAUAGCAAGUAUGAAUCACCAUAACUUGCUAUCCUUGAGCACAAGUAGCCGGCUGGAUCAUUUUGUGGCCGGUUUAGGGUCUCCCCCUCUCAACUGGCUUCAAGCCACCUUAGGAAGGCAAGGAAACGACCAGACCAUCUUCUCUGAACCCCCAGCAAAGUUACUUGUUCUUUAGAACUUGGCUUGACCUCUUCAUGGAACCAUAGACUCGGUUAGGGUCUCCCCCUCUCAACUGACUUCUUUGGCCAUCUUAGAAAGGCUAGGACAUGACCGGAUCAUCAUCAUCAUCUUCAGUGAGGCUCAAGCUUAUUUUGGUACCUGAUACAUCAUUUCAAAAGUGCAUCAGUUCUUAAGGAAAUGCACUCAUCACAUCAAACUCAAUAAUAGUUUAAGUAUAAGGACAAUCAUGAAUGUAUUGAGAUGAGUUUAAGGUGCUUCCCUUUUAUAAGAAUGGUCAGGAGUGGACUCCAAUUGAAUCCCCACUUGGUAAGACACAGUCCGGAUUAUGGAAGCUCAAUCACACACUUGGAACUGAGCUUCUUUGAUCCGGUUGGUACUGAGUAAUGCACGAGUGAAUCCACCACUUGCAAACUCCACUUUUGAUCAGAGGUGAGGCAAUGAACGACUUGGAUUGGCGCCAGUUGCUUCACCGUCAAAUCACCUUUGAGCUUCUUCUUAUGACCUGAGCUUGUCUCCCCCUUUCUUCUGGCUUCUUGCCUCCAUUUAGGAGUUGAGACAAAGCUUUUCUUUGUUCAUGAGCUCAAUAGGUACCUGAUUCAAUCAUCCAAAAAAUGCAUGUAUCAAUUCUCAAGGGGCAAACCUAUUCACACAUAAGAAUAAUAAUGGUUUUAGGUACUUCCCUUGCAUCAGUUUGUUGAAUGUUGGUGAGGAUUACUAAGCACUUGAAUCCUCCACGCCAUUCCUUCUCUCAACCAGCCUUUGCAUUGUUCUCUUGAAGUUUCAACAUGUAGGGGGACUUUGCAACUCCAUAAUUUGCCACCAUCAUGUGAUUGCUUAGCCAAGAAUGUCCCUGAUUGAAUAAUCCUUGCAUCUGGCUGGUAAGAACAGUGAGGAGUGACAGCUUCUUCAGUUUGAUCACUUAAGUCCUCUUUUAAUUCGCCAACCUCUUGCUGGUCUUCUAUGAGGAAAUGGGACACUGGAUACAGUAAGCUUCAUGGAUCUUUUGGUAGCUCACUGAUAUUCCCCUCCUCAAGCUUGACUGAGUAUAGUGACAAGCUUGAACGUGAGCUUCAACGAGUUUUGAACUGGGAGCACAACAAUACCAACAUCUGCGCUUAAGCCAACCAGUUUACCAUCUUCCAGGAGCACAACAAUACCAACAUCUGCGCUUAAGCCAACUGGAUCACCAUUUGCCUUCAGCUCCAAUGUCUUUGGACCACCAGUCUCCUCAUGACUUAGGUGAUGGCCUUCCUUGUGAGUCUCUUGAACCAGGAGCACAACAGCUCCUACGCCUGCGCUUAAGCCAACUGAUUCCACUCACAAGGUAUCUUUACAUGGUCAGGACUAAACACCUUGAUCCAUGCCUCUGACCACCGGCCACUCUUGGCUUAGUGAUGGCCUUUUCUCUUGAGUGCACCUCCUGUACAUCCUCUUGGCAUAAGGUAAGUCACUUCUGAGCAGUUUCUCCAAUUCUCCAACAUCCUUUCUAUCUUCAGGGUAGGAAAUGGGCAGACACAUAGAUAGGAUUUGGGACUGGGCAAUCUCCACGGUUCAGGAAUAUCCAUCUUGGGAGGCUCUGAAAAACGUGGGCAAUGCCUUCUUCUUUGUCUUAGUUUGAUGAUGGACAGAGAUCACCUCUUGUGUACCUGAAACAUCACUCAAACUCCAGCAAGAAUCAGACCACACACACUAGGAUCAGCCCUUGAUAAUUCACCAAGUCUGAUCCCAAUGUUUUAAGAGAAGGAAAAUAUGCAAUGAACAGAAUCUACACAACUCAUUCAGUUCAACUCCAUGCAUACUAACAUCACUAACUGCUCAGGUAUGAUAACUCAUCAAUAACAAGGCAAUUAGGCUCUUUUUAUGAAUUUUAAAGACAAUAAACAGAGACUAAACAACUCAUCUAAUCAUCUUGAACAAGAUAUAUAUAAUGCAAUACAAGAUCAGGAGACUCUCCUAGACCUUUAUCAAUGCAACCAGACAAUGACAGUAGCUAAACAAAUCGCCUAGCACAAUACAAACAGAAACAAUUAAUCUAGGACAGGAACUAGACAAUACCAUGCUAGAAAACUCCUAGAAGUAAUUUAAGAAACAGAGCAACACACACAAUUUAAGUAUCAUGGGACAGAAACUAGGUUAACCAACUCUAGCAACUUGAACCUGUCCCAAGGAUACCAAACACACCACUCAACACAACCAGACAUAACUACUCAAGCUCUUAUUACAGGUAGGAGGUUAACUUACAAACAAGGAACCUGAGCUGGUUCCUUGAACCUCCAAGUGAUAUGAUCAUGGACCGGCACAAGGAUGGAGAUAAAGAGUUCAAAGACCAAUCAAGGGAAGAAGAUGAUGCCUUAGUCAUUCCACCAGGUCCCAUCACUCGCGCCAAAGCUAGAAGACUCAAAGAAGCUGUUGGAAGUCUACUUAUGAUCUCAUGGAAGCAAGAAGACGGUCUUGAUGGACGUUUGAUCAAUCAAGACACUCUUAUCACCAUUCAAGCAAUGGUUUCAAACUGAUCAUCAUCUAAGCAAGUGCUUGUGUGUGCUCUUUUCCUAGCCUUUGGUUUUGUCCCAUUGGGUUUUCCAAAGGAAGGUUUUUAAUGAGGCCACAAGUUACUUACAUAAACCUUAGAUGAUGUAUCACGGUUCCACCUUAGGUUAUUUUUAAACUAUGGUUUUUAUUUCAUGUUUUAAAAACUCUUUUCGAAUUUGAAUAAGUCUUUAGUCUUUGUUGUAGUUCCAAGGGAGCCUGUUCCCUUUAAUGAUCUCGAGAAUAUGGAGCCUGUUCCAUACUUCUCUAUAUAAGUUUGUUUGCGUUCUCUCUUUUAAUCACAAUCCUUUUUCUACAAAUCUAUCAGAUUUCUUUGUUCUCUCUUUACUUCUCAUCAAGUCUUGAGUGAAUCUCGUUGGUGUGUCAUAUCCAACAACUAAGGGUGUCUAUUUUGGUGUGUAAUAUCCAAGCUAGUCAUCUAGGAGUAUCAAGGAGCCAUUCCGCAACUCUUUGUGUCACCAAACGAUCCAUCACCUUGAUAAACUUGAGUCUCUGAUUCGUUUAUACAAGGAUCUAUCCAAUUCAAUCCAAAGAAGCAUCCUAGGAGUUCAUUAAGUGGUAUCAGAGCUGCUUUGGAUUGGGAAGUUUUCGAUUUCUCUUCUGUUUCAAAUAAACUUUUCAACUUCUUUGAUUACCAUUGAUAGAUCUGCGAUCUGUUGUUGUUUCUCGUAUCAUCUGAGUAGCAUAUCACCUGAUUGCUAAUCGUCUGUGUUGAAUCCUAUUAGAUCUAAGUGUUCUUAUCAUAUUUUGAAUCAAACUCAUCCGAUCCGUGUGAAGGAAGUAAUCGAAUCGCUUGAUCUGUCGAAUCACUUGCUGAAUAACUUGAUUUGUGUUGUUUCUGUGAUAGAUCUGUUCUUAUUUGUCUUGAAUCUGAUCUGCAUAAAUCCAAAAUUGAUAGAUCUAAUCUUAGUUUUGUCGAUUUGAAUUCUCUAAUCCGUGAUCUGCAAGUUUUCUAUCUUUUGAAUCUUUUGAAAGUUGUUUCCGCGUCGACUAAUUGUUCUGAUUUGAUUCUUGUGAACAUCUUACUUGUUUGAGUGUUUUCUGAAUCAGGUACCAUGGUGAGAGAGUCGGAAGAUGAAGCAGAACUCGUGAGACAGAACAAGUUAUUGAGAGAUCAGAUGACUGAGCAAUUAAACCAAACGAUGAUCACUACCGUUGCUGAUAUGAUCAAGAGCAGUAUGAAGGAACUUCGCGAUGAAAUAAGGCAAGAGAUAAGGCAAGCUACGGGCCAAGGUCAUAGCAAUGAGUCUAGACGAGAAAGACGUGAUGAAACCCCGAGAGAGCAUGCUGAAUCACAAGAAACAGACCACUACUAUGAGCGUAACCGAGCCACGCACAGCAGUUCCUCUUCUAGAGAUAGUAGAAGGAGACAUAGAAGAGAUCAUGAUGAAAGGAGAACUUACAGAGAUGAUCUUGCUGGUUUAAAGCUGAAGAUACCUCCUUUCCAUGGCAAAGUUGAUCCGGAUGCUUACUUGGAAUGGGAAAAGAAGAUGGAGUUGGUGUUUAACUGUAAGCACUACACCAAUGCCCAAAGGAUUCAGAUAGCAGCAACUGAGUUCCAUGACUAUGCGCUGAGUUGGUGGGACCAGCUUGUGACUACCAGGAGACUUAACCAAGAGUAUCCCGUUGAAACAUGGCACGAGAUGAAGGCUCUCAUGCGUAAAAGAUUUGUGCCAAAUCACUAUCAUCGCGACUUGCACCAGAAGUUAAGAAGACUCACCCAAGGAUCUCGAUCUGUUGAAGAAUACUAUCAAGACAUGGAGCUGUUGAUGCUGAGAGCUCGUGUUUCUGAAGAUAAAGAAGCUACUAUGGCUAGGUUCUUAGGAGGUCUCAACCGAGAGAUACAAGAUAAUGUUGAGAUGCAGCACUAUGUGGAGAUAGAAGAGAUGCUUCACAAAGCUAUACUAGUUGAGCAACAAGUUAAGAGGAAGGGCCAUUCUCAUUCUCGUUACAACACCAGACUUCAGGGAACUAAAGAAGAAAAGUCUAGCUAUCAAAAGGAAAGCAAACCGCAACUGAAAGAAGACUCAAAGCCAAAUUCCUUUUACAGCAAGGAUAAAGGAAAGGCCGAGGUUUCAAGUGCAAGAGCUAGAGAUGUUAAGUGCUUUAAGUGUCAGGGUAGAGGCCAUUAUGCAAAUGAGUGCACCAAUAAAAGAAUCAUGAUUCUUCUUGAGAAUGGAGAGUAUGAAUCUGAGGAUGAGCUUUCAGAGUCUGAGUAUAAGGCGCUUAUUGAAGAAGAAUAUGAAGAAGAACCCGUGAAAGGAAGGUUAUUGGUGGCUAGAAGAACUUUGAGUUUGCAAAGUAAAGCUGAAGAGCAAGAACAGAGAGAGAAUCUAUUCUACACUCGGUGCCUUGUGCAAGGAAAGGUCUGUAGUCUUAUCAUUGAUGGAGGAAGUUGUGUGAAUGUAGCUAGUGAAACUAUGGUAAAGAAGCUUGGCCUCCAAGUACAGAAACAUCCAAAGCCCUACCGGCUUCAAUGGUUGAAUGAAGAAGGAGAAAUGAGGGUUUCUAGUCAGGUUUCGGUUCCCAUUGCAAUUGGAAGGUAUGAGGAUGAGGUUCUCUGUGAUGUAUUGCCUAUGGAAGCUGGACAUAUCCUUCUUGGUCGGCCAUGGCAAUCAGAUAGACGAGUGAUACAUGAUGGCUACACCAACAAGCACACGUUUGAGUUCAAAGGAAAGAAGACUGUGCUGGUUCCUCUAACACCAAAGGAAGUUCAUCAAGAUCAACUGCAGCUACAAAAGAAGAAAGAAAUAGACCUCAAACCUGAAUCAAAGAAGCAGCAUAGUCUCUAUGCCAAAUCGGGUGAAAUCAAAAGAACUCUCAAUGCUCAUCAAUCUAUUCUUUUACUUAUCUUUAAAGAGUCUCUUUUGAAUGUUACUGACCCAACACCGGUAUAUCCGAGUGAAAUUAAGUGUCUUUUACAGGAAUUUGAAGAUGUAUUUCCUGAAGAUAAUCCAAUUGGUCUUCCACCUCUUAGAGGGAUUGAGCAUCAGAUUGAUUUUGUUCCUGGUUCUACACUUCCAAAUAGGCCAGCUUAUAGGACUAAUCCCGUGGAGACUAAAGAACUGCAAAAACAAGUUGAGGAGUUGAUGGCAAAGGGGCAUAUCCGUGAGAGCAUGAGCCCAUGUGCAGUACCAGUGCUUCUUGUGCCUAAGAAAGAUGGAAGCUGGCGCAUGUGUGUUGAUUGUAGAGCCAUCAACAACAUCACUGUAAAGUAUCGCCAUCCUAUUCCUAGAUUAGAUGAUAUGCUUGAUGAAUUGCAUGGUUCCUGCAUAUUUUCUAAGAUUGAUUUGAAAAGUGGAUACCAUCAGAUUAGGAUGAAAGAAGGAGAUGAAUGGAAAACUGCAUUCAAAACUAAACAUGGUCUUUAUGAGUGGUUAGUCAUGCCAUUUGGAUUAACCAAUGCACCUAGUACAUUCAUGAGAUUAAUGAAUCAUGUUCUUAGAUCAUUCAUUGGCAUAUUUGUUGUGGUAUACUUUGAUGACAUCCUUGUAUACAGUAAGAGCUUUAAUGAUCAUAUAGGACAUCUUAGAGCUGUUCUUGAUGUGCUUAGAAAGGAAUCUCUUUUUGCUAACCUUAAGAAGUGUACUUUUGGAACGGAUCACUUGGUUUUUCUAGGCUUUGUUGUGAGUGCAGAUGGAGUAAAGGUAGAUCAAGAGAAGGUGAAAGCAAUACAAGAGUGGCCGAUUCCUAAAACCAUCAGUGAAGUGCGAAGCUUCCAUGGAUUAGCUGGCUUCUACCGACGGUUUGUAAAAGAUUUUAGCACCAUAGCCGCUCCAUUGACUGAGGUGAUCAAGAAAGAAGUUGGAUUCAAAUGGGGAGAAGCACAAGAACUUGCCUUUCAAUGCCUAAAAGAGAAGCUUACUAAUGCCCCUCUUCUUAUACUUCCUGAUUUCAAUAAAACUUUUGAAAUUGAAUGUGAUGCUUCAGGAAUUGGAAUUGGUGCUGUUCUUAUGCAGGAGAAGAGACCCAUAGCAUAUUUCAGUGAGAAACUAGGAGGAGCGACUCUCAACUAUGCUACUUAUGACAAGGAACUCUACGCUUUGGUGAGGGCUUUGCAGACAUGGCAGCAUUACCUAUGGCCCAAGGAGUUUGUCAUUCACACUGAUCAUGAGUCUCUCAAGUACCUUAAAAGCCAAAACAAACUCAGCAAGAGACACGCAAGGUGGGUUGAGUUCAUUGAGACAUUUCCUUAUGUCAUCAAGUAUAAACAAGGUAAGGAAAACAUAGUUGCUGAUGCACUAUCCAGAAGGUAUGUUCUCUUGAACACUCUUGAUGUUAAGCUAUUAGGAUUUGAGCAGAUUAAAGUAAUGUAUGAGAAUGAUCCUGAAUUUAAAGAUGCUUAUAAGUCUUGUGAGAAAUUUGCUGCUGGACAUUACUUUAGGCAGGAUGGAUUUCUUUUCUAUGAUAAUAGACUUUGUGUGCCUAAUUGUUCUUUGAGAGAUUUAUUUGUUAGGGAAUCUCAUGGAGGAAGCCUCAUGGGACAUUUUGGUGUCGCAAAAACUCUCAAGACCUUGCAGGAUCACUUCUACUGGCCGCGGAUGAAAAGAGAUGUGGAAAGACUCUGUGAAAGGUGUGCAACUUGUAAACAAGCUAAGUCCAAAGUCCAAAACCAUGGUUUGUACACGCCUUUACCCAUCCCUUAUCAUCCUUGGAAUGAUAUCUCUAUGGACUUCAUUGUUGGAUUGCCUAGAACUCGUACUGGUAAAGAUUCAAUCUUUGUGGUAGUUGAUAGAUUUUCUAAGAUGGCACACUUCAUUGCUUGUCAUAAAACUGAUGAUGCAUUGCAUGUAGCUAACUUGUUCUUUAAGGAGAUUGUGCGUUUACAUGGCAUGCCUAAGACUAUUGUAUCUGAUAGAGAUACUAAGUUUCUAAGCUACUUUUGGAAAACUCUCUGGUCUAAACUAGGCACUAAGCUAUUAUUUUCUACUACUUGUCACCCACAAACUGAUGGUCAGACUGAAGUAGUUAAUAGAACUCUUGGUACACUCUUGCGUGCAAUUAUAAAGAAGAACUUGAAAUCAUGGGAAGAUUGUUUGCCUCAUUGUGAAUUUGCAUAUAAUCAUGCUGUGCAUUCUGCUACUAAGUUUUCUCCAUUUGAAAUUGUUUAUGGGUUCAAUCCCAUCUCUCCUUUGGAUCUAAUACCUUUACCUGAGUGUGAAAGAGUUAGUCUUGAUGGCAAGAAGAAGGCAGAGAAGGUACAACAACUUCAUGAACAAGCAAGGCGCAACAUAGAAGAGAAGACUAAGCAAUAUGCCAAACAAGCAAACAAGGGGAGGCGUGAAAGAGUCUUUGAAGUGGGUGAUCAAGUCUGGAUUCACCUAAGGAAAGAAAGAUUUCCUAAUGAGAGGAAAUCCAAGCUCAUGCCAAGGAUUGAUGGACCAUUUGAGAUCAUAAAGAAAAUCGGCAACAAUGCUUACAAGCUGGAUCUCCAAGGAAGGUAUGAUGUGAGCAAUAGUUUUAAUAUCACUGACUUGGUUCCUUAUUUUGCAGAUGAGCCAGAUUUGAGGACAAAUCCUUUUCAAGAGGGAGGGGAUGAUAUGAUCAUGGACCGGCACAAGGAUGGAGAUAAAGAGUUCAAAGACCAAUCAAGGGAAGAAGAUGAUGCCUUAGUCAUUCCACCAGGUCCCAUCACUCGCGCCAAAGCUAGAAGACUCAAAGAAGCUGUUGGAAGUCUACUUAUGAUCUCAUGGAAGCAAGAAGACGGUCUUGAUGGACGUUUGAUCAAUCAAGACACUCUUAUCACCAUUCAAGCAAUGGUUUCAAACUGAUCAUCAUCUAAGCAAGUGCUUGUGUGUGCUCUUUUCCUAGCCUUUGGUUUUGUCCCAUUGGGUUUUCCAAAGGAAGGUUUUUAAUGAGGCCACAAGUUACUUACAUAAACCUUAGAUGAUGUAUCACGGUUCCACCUUAGGUUAUUUUUAAACUAUGGUUUUUAUUUCAUGUUUUAAAAACUCUUUUCGAAUUUGAAUAAGUCUUUAGUCUUUGUUGUAGUUCCAAGGGAGCCUGUUCCCUUUAAUGAUCUCGAGAAUAUGGAGCCUGUUCCAUACUUCUCUAUAUAAGUUGUUUGCGUUCUCUCUUUUAAUCACAAUCCUUUUUCUACAAAUCUAUCAGAUUUCUUUGUUCUCUCUUUACUUCUCAUCAAGUCUUGAGUGAAUCUCGUUGGUGUGUCAUAUCCAACAACUAAGGGUGUCUAUUUUGGUGUGUAAUAUCCAAGCUAGUCAUCUAGGAGUAUCAAGGAGCCAUUCCGCAACUCUUUGUGUCACCAAACGAUCCAUCACCUUGAUAAACUUGAGUCUCUGAUUCGUUUAUACAAGGAUCUAUCCAAUUCAAUCCAAAGAAGCAUCCUAGGAGUUCAUUACCAAGGCACACUGUUCACUUGAACUUGACAGCUUUGGAGUUUGGGAUCUCUACCCCACGCCAUUUCCUUGUGUGUGCUUUCCCUUUAGACCACUCAUGCUUAAGACCCCUCCUUUCUUCCUGAUUACCAGGCGCCACCUUCUGGCACACAGUGAGAGACUCCACUUUGGGAAGAACUUGAAAAACACUUGUACAGACUUGGUUUGGAGCAUUGCUCGCCAAACAGCUCCAAAACCUUCUUUCUCCAAGAGAUCUCUUCAGGCUGAACAGGAGGAAGGGUGAUAGACCUUGGGAAGUCUCUGGACACGCCAUGUUUGUAGUCUUCUUCCUCUUGAAGAGAUUGAACAGCUGGCUGGACAGAAACUCUCCAAUGAUUUGAAAUAACAAUGAGGGUGAGCCUAUGCUUGAAUUGUGGAAGCUUUGAGUUUCAGAUACUAAAGACCUCCUUUAUCUUGAGUUCUGGUGAGUCUCUUCCCUCCUGGAAAAGCUUUAGACCAGAGGAUACAAGGAUGAACAGAAACAGAGAUUUUUGAAGAGAAGUAUGAACUGUAAUAGAUUUGCGGAAGCUCUAUGGAUUCUCAGGAGCUUGGAGCUCUGAUACCAUGUGAGAAUAGACAGAUUAUGGUGUGUGAGUGUUGUUUAGAACAGAGAGUGGUCGGAUUGAAAGAGAACAGAGUGAAGAGAGUAAGUGAGAAUUAAAGAGACUGCAAUGGAGCAAAAGAGAGAUUAAGUGAGAUUUGAGAGAGUAUGAGAGAGAUUCUUGUAACCAGAGAUUAGGGAGAGUAUAAGAGACUUGAGAAUGGUGAAGAAGAAAGGGGAAACUCCCCC